UACCUUUGUGGGUCGUUAAAAAACGAAUUACAUAAUAAUCAUUAAAAUAAUAUUUGCAUG
This 60-nucleotide non-coding RNA is filed under the name unclassified sequences. RNAcentral describes it as "S15-Flavobacteria ribosomal protein leader". It matches the Rfam family "S15-Flavobacteria ribosomal protein leader". The record is from RNAcentral.